This 2821-nucleotide long non-coding RNA is filed under the name Heterocephalus glaber (naked mole-rat). RNAcentral's name for it is "lncRNA (ENSHGLG00100041958.1)". The record is from RNAcentral. Lineage: Eukaryota; Metazoa; Chordata; Mammalia; Rodentia; Bathyergidae.
CCCAGUUGUUUUUCAUCUGACAUUCCCUGAGAAACCUUGUCUACUCCACCAGUGCUAGAUAGAGUACAUAUUUUCAAGUCUCUAAAAUAGAGAUUCAUCUUAAAAAUGACAGUCUCAAUGUACUAUGGACCAGAGUUAGCCAUAGUGUGAUUGUUCUCAGGACACUUUCUAGGAUUUGGGAGGAAAACCUUCCCCUGACCUCUCCCCAUGACAUCCUCAGCCUCUGCCCUUGCAGAGGGACUGUCACUAGGAUGAUGAGCUCAUUUCAUGGGGAGUAAUGAAUGCAGGGCUUUCUAGGAAACUUCUAAUUGGCCCUAAGAGUGAUGAUACAUUGGAAAUGACAGACAUGAUGCAUAGCCUGUUUUUAUCUCCUUAAUUUUCUCUCAUCUUACCUUGCUUCCUUUAUUAUCAGUAGACGUUUCUGAUGCAUAGUAAUCACAACUGAACUGCAGGUUGGUACAAAUCCCUGUGGCAUCUUGAGCCUUUUCCACCCUUCCAGCCUCCUCCCACUCAGCCCUCGCACAGCUUUGAAGGGAAUUGUCUGAUAAGUUUCAUUUUUUUAUUGUUAAUGCUUGGGGUGGGAGUUCACAUGCAUUUUCACAUUGAUCAUAUAUAUCUCAACGUGCUUGGAUUUAGUAUUCAGUUGUAACACAAUUUUUGUUUGUUCCUUUGCAUUUUUUAUAGACAAGAUUAUGUUUGGAGCCAAUAGAUGUUGUUUGGCUUGUUUUCACAUGGAAAAUCAUAAGAAAUAUGAUGCCUUCUAUUUCCUUUUCUCUUCUGAUAGCUCUGAUGGCAGCCUCCAGUACAAUGUUGAGUAGAAGUGGCAAGAAUGAGCAUCUUUCUCUGAUUUUCUAUGUUCAAAAAACAGUGAAUUCUAAUCACAGUCACAGGAGCACAGAAUAGGACCCUUCUCCAUGUGAGCCUUCAGUGCACAGUCAAGCCCUGACCAUGACCACAUCUGGAUUCCUCACCCCGAAGAAGCUUACAGUGUUUGUUAGAGAACAACAGAGGAAUCAAGAGAAGGAGGAAGAGAAGAAGAAAAGCAGGAAGGGAGAAAAGAAAUAAUGAAGCGCUGCCACCAUGUGAGCAACUUCCCUCAGCCAAGACCCACCCUUCCUUGGAGCUCCCCACCUUAGGCUGAAAACGUGAGCCAGGCUGACCCUGAACUCCAGGGCUGAAGUGAUCCUCCUGCCUCCAGCUCCAAAGUAGCAGAAUCUCCAGAUUUUCCCUGCCUAAUACGGGCCCAGAAAGCCUAUAGCCCAGGUGCUGACCCUACAGAUGUGUUUCAGCCCCGCCCACAGAAGCAGCAGGAGGGCUCUUUCUCUGGACUUUGUUCAACGUGAUUAUCACAGAACCAGUUUUCCCGUCCUUCUGAGUUGUCCUCAGAUUUUGCUUCUUGUUACUGUCACAGCACCGGCUCUGCCUUCCUGCAUUGCUCAGUGGCCUCCCACCCUGUCGAAGUCCACAGUCUGGGGUGGGUGUUAAAUGUUCCAUGUACAGCACUCUCAUUGUAUGAGUAGAAAAUAGGUGGCUUAAGUGGUGGCAGUUGUUGCUGUUGUUGCUGUUUGUUGUUGUUGCUGUUUUGUUGGGAAAAAAUCUCUUUCCCCAUUGUACCACUGCUCACCAGCUCUAAAGGCAUGUGUGUAGGUGUAUGGCAAUUAUUAAAUUUCAACCUGUUCUGUGCUCACCUUGAAUGCUUGGACUGGAAAUGUCUCACUUCACCAUGCCCAGAGGGGAAGAAAGUGUAACUGUGGAUCUACUCACCGAUGGGCCCUGUUGCUCCUUCCCUCAGUCCCAAGAUGGUGUGUGCCCUGAGUCUGCGGAGCCACCAGCUUCCUGUCUUCAGCCUGCUAAUGCCUGACUUUCUGCCUCACAUCAUGACGGUGUCACUCACUCUCCUCAAAUAUUAUUCUCCAGUGUGAAAAACCACAGCCAACUUAUACUUGGUGGUGUGGAUCUUCCCGGAGCCCCUGCAGCAUUUCUGAAGGUAUAUAUUGAAAGUUCCAAUUUGACCAGACCACUUCUCCAACCUUGCGGAAGAACUCUUAGCUUCGCAAAAGGAGCUCUAUACAGUACAUUUAAACUUUCAGAAAAGAUAGAUCAGAGAGAAAUAAGUGGGUCAAAGAUUGUUUUGAUUUCCUGUGUAGUUCUGAUUAGUGCUGAUGUAUUGUUUUUGACCACUCCAUGAGUAUGGGGCAGGAUGACUUUAAUGGAGCAGUUCUACUGCUAAGGGUUUUAACCCUUUUUUGCCAUUGUGUAACCACUGCAUUUUUAAAUAUCUGAUGCAUUCAGUAGACCCAUUCCAUAGGAAAUUAUUUGUACAUACACAAUUUUGUGAUACUAGGAAUUGAACCCAGGAAUGCUCUUUCACUAAACUAUAUCUUGAGCCUUUUAUUUAUUUUAUUAUUUUUUAUGUCAAGACAGGAUUUUGCUGUUCCUAAUACUGUAAUUGAAUUUGCAAUCCUCUUUCUUCAGCUACCUGACAGGCUUGACUACAACAUACACCACUGCGCCUGGCUUCCAAAACACACAUUUUACAAAAGAUUCAUGAUCUAUGUAGAACCAGAGUUAAACUCCCUAGUCAAGACUAACUGAAUCUAUUCAAAAACCUCACUCGUUUGCAUGUAAACAGGUAGUCCUUCUCAUAGUUAUCAUAUAGAAAUUCUACCUGAUGAAUUUCUUUUUAAUUUUGAACUUCUGAAAUCAUAAAGAUAUAUAAAUAUUAAAUUUUAUACUGCAUUCUUGUUCAAUUUGUGCCAUAAAAUUAUCUUUAUUUACUUACUUCCCAAUCUUAGAAAUUUUAUUAGUAGUAUAUGUUGUG